CACGUAGGGACCAAGCGUUGUCCGGAUUUAUUGGGCGUAAAGAGCUCGUAGGCGGUUCCGUAAGUCGGAUGUGAAAACUCAGGGCUCAACCCUGAGACGCCAUCUGAUACUGCGGUGACUAGAGUCCGGUAGGGGAGCAUGGAAUUCCUGGUGUAGCGGGGAAAUGCGCAGAUAUCAGGAGGAACACCAAUGGCGAAGGAAGUGCUCUGGGCCGGAACUGACUCUGAGGAGCGAAAGCAUGGGCAGCAAACAGG
This 254-nucleotide ribosomal RNA is filed under the name uncultured bacterium. Its description in RNAcentral is "partial 16S ribosomal RNA". It matches the Rfam family "Bacterial small subunit ribosomal RNA", at positions 524 to 776 of the family's 1533-position model. The record is from RNAcentral.